Molecule: ribosomal RNA, 253 nt
Filed under: uncultured bacterium
Lineage: Bacteria
Description: partial 16S ribosomal RNA
Rfam family: Bacterial small subunit ribosomal RNA
Source: RNAcentral
UACGUGAGGGGCGAACGUUGUUCGGUGUCACUGGGCUUAAAGGGCGCGUAGGUGGCUGUGCAAGUAAGGUGUGAAAGCCCUCGGCUUACCCGGGGAAUUGCGCCUUAAACUGCAUGGCUUGAGGGUUUCAGGGGAAAGGGGAACUCCAGGUGUAGCGGUGAAAUGCGCAGAUAUCAGGAGGAACACCGGUGGCGAAGGCGGGUCUCUGGGCCGAUACUGACGCUGAGGAGCGAAAGCGUGGGGAGCGAACAGG